Molecule: ribosomal RNA, 833 nt
Filed under: archaeon enrichment culture
Lineage: Archaea
Description: bacterial SSU rRNA
Rfam family: Archaeal small subunit ribosomal RNA
Source: RNAcentral
GCGGCUACUGCUAUCAGGUUUCGACUAAGCCAUGCGAGUCAAGGGGUCGUAAGACACCGGCGUACUGCUCAGUAACACGCGGACAAUCUACCCCCAGGUGGAGGAUAACCUCGGGAAACUGAGGCUAAUACCCCAUAGUUGUCAUGUGCUGGAAUGCUUUGACGAUGAAAGAAUUUCGCCUGAGGAUGAGUCUGCGACCUAUCAGGUAGUAGGUGGUGUAAUGGACCACCUAGCCUCAGACGGGUACGGGCCCUGGGAGGGGUAGCCCGGAGAUGGACUCUGAGACAUAAGUCCAGGCCCUACGGGGCGCAGCAGGCGCGAACACUGUGCAAUGCGCGAAAGCGCGACACGGGGAGCUUGAGUGUCUUGGCAUAGCCAAGACUUUUCUCAUUCCUAAAAAGCAUGAGGAAUAAGUGCUGGGUAAGACGGGUGCCAGCCGCCGCGGUAACACCCGCAGCACGAGUAGUGGUCACUUUUAUUGAGCCUAAAGCGUUCGUAGCCGGUUUUGUAAAUCUUCAGAUAAAGCCUGAAGCUUAACUCCAGAAAGUCUGAAGAGACUGCAAGACUUGAGAUCGGGUGAGGUUAAACGUACUUUCAGGGUAGGGGUAAAAUCCUGUAAUCCCGGAAGGACGACCAGUGGCGAAAGCGUUUAACUAGAACGAAUCUGACGGUAAGGAACGAAGGCUAGGGUAGCAAACCGGAUUAGAUACCCGGGUAGUCCUAGCUGUAAACAUUGCCCAUUUGAUGUUGCUUUUCCGUUGAGGGAAGGCAGUGUCGGAGCGAAGGUGUUAAAUGGGCCGCUUGGGAAGUAUGGUCGCAAGACUGAAACUUAA